Molecule: ribosomal RNA, 459 nt
Filed under: uncultured bacterium
Lineage: Bacteria
Description: SSU rRNA
Rfam family: Bacterial small subunit ribosomal RNA
Source: RNAcentral
GACGAACGCUGGCGGCGUGCUUAACACAUGCAAGUCGAACGAGGAACUUCGGUGGACUUUCUUGGGAAAGAAACAGAAAUGAUUUAGUGGCGAACGGGUGAGUAACACGUGAGAAACCUGCCUAUUACAAGGGGAUAGCCUCCGGAAACGGUGAUUAAUACCCUAUGACAUCACAAUAUGGCAUGGUAUAGUGAUCAAAGAUUUAUCGGUGAUAGAUGGUCUUGCGGCUGAUUAGCUAGUUGGUAAGGUAACUGCUUACCAAGGCAACGAUCAGUAUCCGGCUUGAGAGGGUGAACGGACACACUGGAACUGAGACACGGUCCAGACUCCUACGGGAGGCAGCAGUGGGGAAUUUUGCACAAUGGGGGAAACCCUGAUGCAGCGACGUCGCGUGAACGAUGAAGGCCUUCGGGUUGUAAAGUUCUGUCCUAAGCGAAGAUAAUGACAGUAGCUUAGAAG